GCUUGCACUUCUAUUUGCGCGUAAAACGUUUUGCAUAUUUCAUUUCUGACAUACCUCUUUGUUUUUUGCGACAAACCUUGUGCAAUGUCAACAUCCCAUAUCAACAUGUGAAUAUCGUUGAAUAAACAAAUAACCAGCAUAUAUUAGGGUUUAAACUUUGUAAAACCAGAUCUCUCAUGUUUUAGUUUCAAAUAAACCAUUUAAUAUGUUUUUUGUGCAAUGGACCUUGCCUUUGUACUGUUUUCACACCAGUAUAACAGGUUUGUAAUAUGAC
Molecule: non-coding RNA, 274 nt
Organism: Pelobates cultripes (western spadefoot toad)
Lineage: Eukaryota; Metazoa; Chordata; Amphibia; Anura; Pelobatidae
Source: the annotation of a GenBank genome assembly